AUGGUAAUUCUAGAGCUAAUACAUGCGAACAAACCCGACUUUGCGGAAGGGUUGUGCUUAUUAGAUACUGAGCCACCCAGGUUCGUCCUGGCUUUUGCGUUGAUUCAUAGUACCGGAACGGAUCGCACGGCUUGCCGGCGAUGAGUCAUUCAAGUUUCUGACCUAUCAGCUUCCGACGGUAGGGUAUUGGCCUACCGUGGCUUUGACGGGUAACGGAGAAUUAGGGUUCGAUUCCGGAGAGGGAGCCUGAGAAACGGCUACCACAUCUAAGGAAGGCAGCAGGCGCGCAAAUUACCCAAUUCUGACACAGUGAGGUAGUGACAAGAAAUACCAAUACGAGGCAUCAUGUCUUGUAAUUGGAAUGAGAAGAACAUAAAUCGCUUUCCGAGUAUCAAUUGGAGGGCAAGUCUGGUGCCAGCAGCCGCGGUAAUUCCAGCUCCAAUAGCGUAUAUUAAAGUUGUUGCGGUUAAAAAGCUCGUAGUUGAAGUUCUGUCGAGAGCCACUGGGUCCGCCCCCGUGGCUGGUACGCAGUACGUUCUCGGCAUCCGCUUGGGGAACGCGUUUGCACUUCGCUGUGUGGCGCGGGAUCCAGGACGUUUACUUUGAGGAAAUGAGAGUGUUUCAAGCAGGCCGUCGCCGUGUAUACGUUAGCAUGGAAUAAUAGUAGCCGGACCUCGCUCCAUAAAUGUUGGGUCCUUUGGAAUGAGGUCACGGUAAACAAGGAAUAGUUGGGGGCAAUCGUAAUU
This 746-nucleotide ribosomal RNA is filed under the name Uncultured marine alveolate Group I DH148-EKD6. RNAcentral describes it as "bacterial SSU rRNA". It matches the Rfam family "Eukaryotic small subunit ribosomal RNA", at positions 149 to 899 of the family's 1831-position model. The record is from RNAcentral.